GAUGAACGCUAGCGGCAGGCUUAAUACAUGCAAGUCGAGGGGCAGCGGGGUAGCAAUACCGCCGGCGACCGGCAAACGGGUGCGGAACACGUACAGAACCUUCCUUUAAGCGGGGGAUAGCCCAUAGAAAUGUGGAUUAAUACCCCAUAGUAAUAUUGAUUGGCAUCAAUUGAUAUUUAAAGAUUUAUCACUUAAAGAUGGCUGUGCGGCUGAUUAGGUAGUUGGUGCGGGAACGGCCCACCAAGCCAUCGAUCAGUAACUGGUGUGAGAGCACGACCAGUCACACGGGCACUGAGACACGGGCCCGACUCCUACGGGAGGCAGCAGUAAGGAAUAUUGGUCAAUGGACGCAAGUCUGAACCAGCCAUGCCGCGUGAAGGA
Molecule: ribosomal RNA, 381 nt
Filed under: uncultured bacterium
Lineage: Bacteria
Description: bacterial SSU rRNA
Rfam family: Bacterial small subunit ribosomal RNA
Source: RNAcentral